GAGCUCGUAGGCGGUUUGUCGCGUCUGUCGUGAAAGUCCGGGGCUUAACCCCGGAUCUGCGGUGGGUACGGGCAGACUAGAGUGCAGUAGGGGAGACUGGAAUUCCUGGUGUAGCGGUGGAAUGCGCAGAUAUCAGGAGGAACACCGAUGGCGAAGGCAGGUCUCUGGGCUGUAACUGACGCUGAGGAGCGAAAGCAUGGGGAGCGAACAGGAUUAGAUACCCUGGUAGUCCAUGCCGUAAACGUUGGGCACUAGGUGUGGGGACCAUUCCACGGUUUCCGCGCCGCAGCUAACGCAUUAAGUGCCCCGCCUGGG
RNAcentral lists this ribosomal RNA (315 nucleotides) under Micrococcus sp. RNAcentral's name for it is "bacterial SSU rRNA". It matches the Rfam family "Bacterial small subunit ribosomal RNA", at positions 565 to 877 of the family's 1533-position model. Lineage: Bacteria; Bacillati; Actinomycetota; Actinomycetes; Micrococcales; Micrococcaceae. The record is from RNAcentral.